RNAcentral lists this long non-coding RNA (4250 nucleotides) under Capsicum annuum. RNAcentral's name for it is "long non-coding RNA (CANN_LNC009727)". Lineage: Eukaryota; Viridiplantae; Streptophyta; Magnoliopsida; Solanales; Solanaceae. The record is from RNAcentral.
AUCUUACUUUGGCUCUUUUCUUCGUAUUGAUAUAAUCUAAAGUUUGAGAAAACAUGAUAAUGUAUAUAGCUUCCAUCUAUUCCACUAUAUUACAUCAACUUAACUACUUUAACAACCUCUCCUGAAUGUAGACGUUUAUGGACAAAAUAUAUGUUCUCUAGGAAAAUUCAUUGGUGCAAUUUUUGAUUAGCAGUAAAGCUAGCCUUUUAUUCUCCUUAUGAUAUUUCUCAAAUUUCAGGCAUUUAUUGAUGAAGACAUGGUGAAAGUUGCUUAAUUUCAUGGUACUGCAGCAAAAUUGAAGGGUAAAACUUGAGGUAAGAUUUUAACUAUAUAUUACUAUUUUUGUAAGUGUCUCACAUGGUUAGAACUAUGUAUCUCUAUCGAGAGCAAAGUUUUUUCAUCAUUUUCAUUUAUUAGUUUAACCGCCUAUAAUAAAUUGUGACAAUGAUUAUUUAACACCCAAUAUCGCUCAUGAUAAAAUCGCUGAAAAAGCCUUUGCAUAGAUUCGUUGGAUGUGUCUAUUUACUAUCGAUGUCUUAUAUUUUCUUAUUUUAAAAUUUUGACUCCACACUCCAAGCUUGACACAAUUGUAGCAUUUGUUUCAUUUUUCACAUUGAGGUAUUGUACUUUUAUUUUGUUUAGCCAUGUAAAGAAAUUAUAGAUUUCUCCCAAAUGUCGGUUGAUGUUGUCAAAUUUGAAAGCACAAAUUUCACUAUUAAAGGAUGAAAAAAAAUUAAAAUCAUUAGUUAGUUGUAAAUAUAUAUUUCACUUUCUCUAUAAAACCUUAAUUGAAUUAAUUGUAGAACAAAUAUGCACACGUUUCGUUUAAGAAAAUAUGGUUGCACUGUAGACUUCUAUCCUUUUUCUUAUGAUUCUGCCUAAGAAUUGAAACAAUUUUAAUUCUUUUCCUUGUGUUCUCCUUCACAACUAAUUUGUCUUCAAUUUUUUCUGAAGUUUCUUGUCCAGAUAUAUGUAAGGAAGAGACAUACGGAUAUGUUGUUUUUCUCAAGAUGUUGUGGUAAAGUGUAUAAUUUGUCCUUGUUCUUGAAUUAUAUUAUAUUUUUAUAUUAAAUUUGGUUAUCCACUUCAUGCACAUUAAAUAAAAGCAUCCAACUUGACUUACAUCUAAAUUUCACUUUCCCUCAAUUUAGAAACAUAUGUCCAUAGGCUAACUAUGUUCUUGAAGGAUUCUCUGUACUUUAUGACGACGUCUGUCCUUUCACAUUUUAAUUUAUUUUAUGUAUGACGAUGCAAAUUAACAUAAAUGUUAAUAGACUGUGAAAGGUGAACUAAAAUAAGGAUUAUUUUAGCUUAUAAACUAGAGACAUGACAUAUUUGACUAUUUUUAAGAAUAUUCUCAAAAAGAUGGAGCUAAAUGGAUUGUUCUUUAAUCACAAUGCAUACUUUGUUUACUCGAAUAGAUAUACAAAAUUGGGUUACUUGGAGAAGUUCUCUUAUGUAAGGAAAUGUUUGAGAGUGGUAUGUGUCUGAUAUGGUUGCAUACUUAACAUUUAUUUAAUACAUUUUUUAAAGUUGGAAUGCUAAAUAUUUCGAUAUUAUGAAACAUUCACAGAUUUGAUGUUUUUACGAACUACGUGGUAUAUAUAUAUCGUGAGUAUUAUAUUAUUUUGUUAUAAUUUUCAUUCGGUUACUAUUUGCUAUUUUUUUUUUUAUUAUUUCUUUUACUUCCUUUGGUGUGGUUGUCUGUUCUAUCAAAAAUAAUUUUUCUAUCUCUAAAAUAGGAAUAUAAUUUGUGUACAUUCUGCCCUUCUCAACUUGUUGCACACAUAGUAUAUUAUUAUUGUAACAAGACAUCAUCCCACUCUAGCAUAAUAAAAUCCUAAAGUUUGGUUCUAUCGAUAGAUUACUUAGAAGCCAUAGUUUAUUUGUAUUAAUUUUAAUUUCUAACCACAAAUUAUACUCCAAAUAUGUGGAAUUCAUAUGCUAACUUCAGAGAAUUAGUACUUUUUUUUCCCUUUUUAUGCCAAUUAGAUAAAAAUAUACUAUUCGAAAUUCAACACCAAACGAAAGCCUAUAUACUAUGAGUUCCGCACAUCAAACGAAAAAUCCAAAAAAAAAAUGAUGUAUGCUUACAACAAUAUUCAAUAUUUUGAGAUAUUUAUAGUAUUAGACUUAAUCAUGUUAACGUGACACACAUGUGAGAUGCACGUAUACUAAAUUAGUAUAUUGUAAAAGUGAAAAACUACUGAAUUAAAAAAUAAAUUAUGAAUACAUCCUUCAAAUAUUAAUUGACUUAAUUAUCCCUUGUCCUAAACCUAAACACUACAUAUACCACUAACUAUAGCCCUCCAAAUUCUCAUACCCAAAACUCCUCAAUACUUGGUUGCCUUUAUAUCUAGCCGUUCUUCCCUCAACUUCUAACAACCAUAACCCCCAAAUAAUGGCUGCAUUAACACUUAGAAAUAACCCACCUAAUUCCAAAAACCAAAACUCUCCAUUUCAUGGCUCCAAUAAUAUGGAAUAGUGCUAACAAUCGUGCACAACAAUACAGAAACGUCCAAAACAAUAGAGAGGUACGGUAUUAUUCUCUUCGUUUCUUUUUAGUUGAUACUCUUAUUAAAAAUAUUUAUUUUAAUUUAGUUGUUCCAUUUAAGAAAUCAAGAGAAAUUUAUUAUGUUUUUUCAAUACUACUCCUAACGUUAAAUGACUAACAAAGUGUAUAUACUCAAAUUUAUAUUUUCAAAGUAUAACUAACAAGACUAAAUUGAUAAAAUAAGCUCCUAAUAAAUAUUGGUUAAAUUACACAAAUCCCAAACUUAGGAGACUAUAUUCCCCAAUAUCCCUUACUGUUUAAAAAUUACAUUAAAUCCUGAUUUUUAACUUUACUCUUGAUACAUAUCAACAAAACUCCACAUCCUAUUUUUACUCCACCAUUAAUUCAUGCAAGAUAUUUUUUUUUUCAAAAAUUACCUUCCCUAAAAUCUCUCCCAAGUUAUACACAUUUUUUUUUUUCACAAUUUCCUCUCCUAAAAUCUCUCUCAUUUUUUUUUAAAUCGAUUGAUACAUAUAUAAAUUUAUUUAGUUAUUCAUACAUGUUUAAGUUAAUAUUAAUAUGAAAUUUGUCAGUGAUACAUAUUUUUUUGUUAAUCCGAUUGAUACAUAUAUAAAAAUAUUAAUUUUUUGGAUACAUUUUCAUAGUGUAACGGUGAUUCAUAUGAACGAUACUUUUGUUAUCAGUAUAUGGUGAUAUAUUUGUUGACAGUGUAUGAGUGAUGCAUUUUGCUGUUAGAUUAUUGGUGCUAUAUUUGUAUUAACAAUGUAUGAGUGAUACAUUUACGGUCAAAUUAUUGGUGAUACAUACAUCUAUUUCAACUAUAAAAAUGUAUCACUAAUAUAACAGAUAACGUCGUUUUCUUCCUCUGUCGUAUAAUCAUUAGUAAUAUUGAAAAUCCUCCUAAGAGCUUUGAUCGAUUUGUUCUUAAUUUUACCAGUAAUUGUCUGGCACAACAAAGUCAUUAACCCUGGAAUGUGAAGGUAAUUCGCAGCGAAUACAAGUUGCGACAUUAUUUUGAAGCUAAUUUUCACGAAUUCCUUUUCAAAUUCUUCAAGUUGUUGUUUGUUAGUAACAUCUUCUUCAAUUGAAUGAUGAAUCAUGUAGUCGAAGAUUUUGAUUAGGACUUUGGAUUCUACAUUUAAGAGAGGGAUUACUGUAUAUCCGACUCCCACCAUGUUUUUGAUUAUACCAGAUUGAAUAGAGAUGGAUUCUUCAACUUGGAAUUCAUCGUCUUCUGAGAAUUUCAAUGUCAGGAUUUUUCCUUGCGACGGUGCUGAUGAUAAUGAGGCUUCAUCGGCGGUGGAUUUCAAGGUCGGAAUGGUCACUGACGGCGGUGCUGAUGAUGAUGAAGCCGCAUUAAUGGCGGAUUGCAGCAGUGCAGAUGAAGAUGAAACUUUUACCAAAUGUAUUACACGGAAGAAGGAAGAAACUCAAUUUAUUCGCUUGAAAUUUGAAAGUUGAUUGGGGGAAUUGCUGAUUUUUUUGAAUCUCAUUAAUUUAUUGUGUAACUGAUUGUACGAGAUUUGCUCCACAGAAUAAAAGAGACUCUGUUACUUCCUUAAAUAAACAUCUAGUCAGUUUUAAAUGUAUCACUUUUUUAUAUAUAUCACCUUAUAACAUAUGUAUCAUGAUUUUAAAAAAUCAGAAUAAGAUGUAAUUAAUCAAAUAGUUGGGAUAAAAUGUAAUAUCACUUAAAGAUUCAGAAAUUUAUGUAAGUUACCCGUAAAUAUUUUCU